Molecule: ribosomal RNA, 895 nt
Filed under: uncultured bacterium
Lineage: Bacteria
Description: bacterial SSU rRNA
Rfam family: Bacterial small subunit ribosomal RNA
Source: RNAcentral
GUGUCAGCAGCCGCGGUAAUACGAAGGCCCCAAGCGUUAUCCGGAUUUAUUGGGCGUAAAGCGUGUGUAGGGGGUCCGAUGCGUCUUUUGUUAAAUCUCACCGCUCAACGGUGAGGCCGCAAAGGAUACGAUCGGACUAGAGGAUGUUAGAGGCUGAUGGAACACACAGUGUAGGGGUGAAAUCCGUUGAUAUUGUGUGGAACACCAAAGGCGAAGGCAUUCAGCUGGGGCAUUCCUGACCCUCAGACACGAAAGCGUGGGGAGCAAAAAGGAUUAGAUACCCUUGUAGUCCACGCCGUAAACGAUGCCGACUAGCUGUUUCGAGUAUCGACCCUCGGAGUGGCGAAGCUAACGCGUUAAGUCGGCCGCCUGGGAAGUACGGCCGCAAGGCUAAAACUCAAAGGAAUAGACGGGGACUCGCACAAGCGGUGGAGCAUGAGGUUUAAUUCGACAAUAAGCGAAGAACCUUACCAGGGUUUGACAUUCUACUGAAAGCUUUCCGAAAGGAAAGCCCUCUCUCAAGGACAGUAGGACAGGUGCUGCACGGUUGUCGUCAGCUCGUGAUUUGAAUUGUUCCCUUAGUGGGGUAACGAGCGCAACCCUUACUCUGUGUUAUAUGUGUCACAGAGGACUGCCCAGCCCUAAACUUGCAAGCAUAAUUGUUUGUUGGUUUUGGGCUGGGAGGAAGGCGGGGAUGACGUCAAAUCAGCGUGGCCCUUUGAUACCCUGGGCUACACUCGUGCUACAAUGGCCAGUACAAUGGGUUGCCAAGCCACAAGGCGGAGCUAAUCCCAUCAAAACUGGUCUCAGUUCGGAUUGAGGGCUGCAACUCGCCCUCAUGAAGCUGGAAUCGCUAGUAAUCGUGGGUCAGCUACACCACGGUGAAUACGUUCUC